RNAcentral lists this ribosomal RNA (180 nucleotides) under ascomycete sp. VTT D-041035. Its description in RNAcentral is "partial 18S ribosomal RNA". It matches the Rfam family "Eukaryotic small subunit ribosomal RNA", at positions 1654 to 1831 of the family's 1831-position model. The record is from RNAcentral. Lineage: Eukaryota; Fungi; Ascomycota.
UGCCCUUUGUACACACCGCCCGUCGCUACUACCGAUUGAAUGGCUCAGUGAGGCGUCCGGACUGGCCCAGAGAGGUGGGCAACUACCACUCAGGGCCGGAAAGUUCUCCAAACUCGGUCAUUUAGAGGAAGUAAAAGUCGUAACAAGGUCUCCGUUGGUGAACCAGCGGAGGGAUCAUUA